AUACGUAGGGGGCGAGCGUUGUCCGGAAUGAUUGGGCGUAAAGGGCGCGUAGGCGGCGCGGUAAGUCUGGAGUGAAAGUCCUGCUUUCAAGGUGGGAAUUGCUUUGGAUACUGCCGCGCUUGAGUGCAGGAGAGGUUAUCGGAAUUCCCGGUGUAGCGGUGAAAUGCGUAGAGAUCGGGAGGAACACCAGUGGCGAAGGCGGGUAACUGGACUGCAACUGACGCUGAGGCGCGAAAGUGUGGGGAGCAAACAGGAUUAGAUACCCUGGUAGUCCACACUGUAAACGAUGAAUGCUAGGUGUAAGAGGUAUCGACCCCUUUUGUGCCGGAGUCAACACGAUAAGCAUUCCGCCUGGGGAGUACGGCCGCAAGGUUGAAACUCAAAUGAAUUGACGGGG
Molecule: ribosomal RNA, 397 nt
Filed under: uncultured bacterium
Lineage: Bacteria
Description: partial 16S ribosomal RNA
Rfam family: Bacterial small subunit ribosomal RNA
Source: RNAcentral